RNAcentral lists this ribosomal RNA (434 nucleotides) under uncultured Lachnospiraceae bacterium. RNAcentral describes it as "partial 16S ribosomal RNA". It matches the Rfam family "Bacterial small subunit ribosomal RNA", at positions 341 to 792 of the family's 1533-position model. The record is from RNAcentral. Lineage: Bacteria; Bacillati; Bacillota; Clostridia; Lachnospirales; Lachnospiraceae.
ACGGGAGGCAGCAGUAGGGAAUAUUGCACAAUGGGGGAAACCCUGAUGCAGCGACGCCGCGUGAGUGAUGAAGUAUUUCGGUACGUAAAGCUCUAUCAGCAGGGAAGAUAAUGACGGUACCUGACUAAGAAGCCCCGGCUAACUACGUGCCAGCAGCCGCGGUAAUACGUAGGGGGCAAGCGUUAUCCGGAUUUACUGGGUGUAAAGGGAGUGUAGGUGGCCUGGCAAGCCAGAUGUGAAAGCCCGCGGCUCAACCGCGGGACUGCAUUUGGAACUGUUAGGCUUGAGUGCAGGAGAGGAAAGUGGAAUUCCUAGUGUAGCGGUGAAAUGCGUAGAUAUUAGGAGGAACACCAGUGGCGAAGGCGGCUUACUGGACUGUAACUGACGUUGAGGCUCGAAAGCGUGGGGAGCAAACAGGAUUAGAUACCCUGGUA